Molecule: non-coding RNA, 214 nt
Organism: Cinara cedri
Lineage: Eukaryota; Metazoa; Arthropoda; Insecta; Hemiptera; Aphididae
Source: the annotation of a GenBank genome assembly
AUUUCUGAAUAGUUAAAGGCAUCCCUUACUCUUCCUAACCAGUUUCACCAUUCCAUAUUGCAUAGUCACGUCACAAAAUAAUUAGGUUCUUUACUUUCUGGACAAACCAUGUAUUGAUUGCACAAAAUAAUUAUUAUGUUACAUUCAAUUUUUAUUGGAUUUUUGUUUUUUCGCGCUGCUGUUUGUUGUUUUCAUCUCUUCUAAUAGUUUGUCU